UUUUUAUGGAGAGUUUGAUCCUGGCUCAGGAUGAACGCUGGCGGCGUGCCUAAUACAUGCAAGUCGAGCGAACAGACGAGGAGCUUGCUCCUCUGACGUUAGCGGCGGACGGGUGAGUAACACGUGGAUAACCUACCUAUAAGACUGGGAUAACUUCGGGAAACCGGAGCUAAUACCGGAUAAUAUAUUGAACCGCAUGGUUCAAUAGUGAAAGACGGUUUUGCUGUCACUUAUAGAUGGA
This 241-nucleotide ribosomal RNA is filed under the name Staphylococcus epidermidis NIH08001. RNAcentral describes it as "partial 16S ribosomal RNA". It matches the Rfam family "Bacterial small subunit ribosomal RNA", at positions 1 to 229 of the family's 1533-position model. The record is from RNAcentral. Lineage: Bacteria; Bacillati; Bacillota; Bacilli; Caryophanales; Staphylococcaceae.